This is a non-coding RNA of Triticum aestivum (bread wheat), 74 nucleotides long. The record is from Rfam. NCBI's taxonomy places the organism in Eukaryota, Viridiplantae, Streptophyta, Magnoliopsida, Poales, Poaceae.
GGGGAUGUAGCUCAAUUGGUAGAACGCUAAUCAAUGUUGAAUAGAGGCACGGGGUUUGAUUCCUCACAUCUCCA